Molecule: long non-coding RNA, 797 nt
Filed under: Sinocyclocheilus grahami
Lineage: Eukaryota; Metazoa; Chordata; Actinopteri; Cypriniformes; Cyprinidae
Description: lncRNA (ENSSGRG00000009661.1)
Source: RNAcentral
GUUGUUUUUUUGACACUGUGACACUUUUUGAUCAAAUCAAGAGGACAAACAUUAAAAUGUCACAUUUUUUUGUGAAAGAUUUCAGUUAUGAACCAGAAAUGUACCCUUGGCCAACCAACCUUCCUUUUCUGGUCAACAGAAAGAAAAAGCAUUUAGCAGCUUAGAGGGAAAAUUCGUUGAAAGUCUUCAGAAUCAAUAUGGCCAAGAACACACAGUCACUAGCAUAUGGAAUGAAACUAUGACCAAGGUAAGACUAGCCCUCAUGCAUGUCAGCUGAGUUCGAUCUAAUAAAUAUUACAGUUUUCAUUUUUAUGAAUUUUAGCUGGAUUGCUGUGGAUACAAAGGCUAUGAUGACUUCACAAAUUCAACUUUUGUAAAGAGUAACUCAGAAUAUCCCAAACAAUGCUGCAGUAAAGAUUCAAAUUCAAGAUGUGGAAAACAAGAAGCUGUGGACAAGAAGAUUAAGGGCUGCUUUCAUGUGCUGCUUGAUGAAAAUAUACCCAUAUCUGGAGCUUUGUUAUUUCUGAUCGGCAUUCUACAGAUUGUUGCCUUGUUCGGUUCGCUGAAAGUCUACCAAUGCUUGAGACGCUUACCUGAUUUCCCAGACCUUUUUGAAAAUAAUCUGUGAUAAACGACUACUGAUUUGUUUUUUUCUCAAUCUAUGAAAGUUCUUUAUGAUUUGUUAUUGCAUUUGCCUUCAGAAAAUAUUCAGAUUUGUCUAUGAAACGUGGUGUGAAAACAAAGAAAAUAUAUAUCAAGAAGAACAUUGCUUUUUUAUUUUAUUAAUAAUAUAAUUU